AGUGACCGCGUCCGCGCUCCAGCGCUCCGGGUGGGGCUGUGAGUCCAUCGCUGAGAAAAGGGAGCUGGAGGACCAGUGUGGAGCCUGAGCCAGCUGGAGAGGGGCCCGGUAGGAUGUGAGCAGCAACUGUUUGGGCUGGUGGCACAGAGGUAAAAGAACUUACCAAGACAGCUGUGGGUGAAGAAAGGCAGAUUUAUUAAAGACAGUAUCAAAGUAUGUUAUCAGGGAGCA
Molecule: long non-coding RNA, 231 nt
Filed under: Homo sapiens (human)
Lineage: Eukaryota; Metazoa; Chordata; Mammalia; Primates; Hominidae
Description: non-protein coding lnc-ZNF582-1:5
Source: RNAcentral